AUAAAAUAGAAAAAUAACCUUAAUUUAAUCAAGUAACAUAUGUGCCUACAAAAAUACCAUAUACAGUUCCACAGUGGAAGUAGUUAAGAAAUAUGUUAAUUCUGUACAAGAAUUGCUAAUGUACACAAUUCCAUCUGAAAUUACAGGCUUUUAGUUGCACAAUGUAUUCAUUCUUUUGCAACAAGAGAACACCUACACAGUUGCUUAUUCUGCCAGAAAUAGCAGUCAAAUCUCUAAUAUAUUAAUAACACAUAUUAAUAGCCUGUUAGUUUUGUCACAAUAAAUAAAUAAAUAAAAAGGCCAAGCAAUAAAAAAGGUAUACAAACUUCCAUUUAGUUAUCUAGAGAUAGCAACUUCUCUCUCUCUCUCUCUUUCUCUCUCACUGUCUCCCUCUCUUUCAAAACACUCUGUGCUGCCAUUUAAAGGUUCACAUUAGAUAAUGUAGUCCUAGAUACACAAUGCAUGAAAAAAGACAGGAUUGUCAUGGAUGGAAUGAUUUUGAUCAUAGGUCUGCUUCAUCAGAGCUGGCCUGGAACUAAACAACUUUCAAUAAUCAGAUAAAAAAAUUCAUUUAGAUCAAAACUUUUCAAAUAUUUGCUCACUUUCAGCAGUCUGUCUCUCUUUCUCUCCCCCCUCUCUCUCUCUCUCUGUCUUGCUCUGUCUGUCUCUCUUUCUCUCUCCUGCAAUCAAAAUCUAUAGCCUAGAGAGGAAGCAUGUACACAUCAAGGGACACAACCUCUUCCCUUUAUCCAUUUCUUGAUGUUACUCAACUACAUCAUUCAUAGUCUUCUCUUUAAAUGGUGAGUUAAAAGUAGGAUAUCAUGACUCCUUAAAAGUUUAUGGCACUUCCUCUCUUCCCAUCAAUCUUAGGGGACCUGAAAAAUGCUCAGGGCCACAAUGCUCAUCCUCCUCUAGAAGGUAUACUCAUUAAUUACUGGGCUGAAAUUCCAUUUUGUAUGAAUGCACAUAGGCAAAACUGCUGUUGAUGUGAUUUUUGACAAAAUUAUGUUACAUUUGUCCAUAGUUAAAAAAAAAAAAUCAGGACCCAUAGUAGAAAUGCUUUCAAACUUAUUACAGGCAUAUCUGCAAUAACAAAGUGAUUUUGCUCGAGGUCAAAUCAAUGACCCGUAUGUAUGUAAGGGUAGAUGCAUGCAUGUGUAUGCAUUGAAGAAGGCAAGCCACAGGAGUUGAUUACAAAACGACUAUGAUCAAUGUCAAGAAGAAUAUUGAGUGACGCCUAGUAAAUAGUUGGUCUAGCAAGUAGCACCUCAUCUCAGUGAGGUGGGGCUGGUAGUAAUAAUGCUGGUGAGGAACAACCCAAAACAGCUCAAAGAAUCUCCUGAUGAUCCCACAAUCCUGCUAGUGUCCAAUAUGCAGAGCUUUCAACUUGUAGCGCUUGUAUCCUCGAUUUACUUGCUGAAAGAAGCCUGUGUUAUGCGUGUGUAUGGUUUUUUCUUCACCAUUGCUUGACAAACGGUGCUGGUUUGUUUUCAUCCCUGUAACUUAUCAGUUUGGCAAAAGAGACCAAGAGAAUAAGUACUGGGGUUGAUUUGUUCGAUUAAACCCUUCAAGGUGAUGCCCUAAAGUGGCCAAGGACUAAAACAAAAAGAAGAUAAAAGAUACGGAUUUACUAGCAAAAUUUUCAUGUUGGAUUACUAACACAAUUCUCUACGUUUUGAAAAUUUUGUGCUUCUUUUUAUGAAAUUGAUCUGGUAAACCUGAUUACAAAGACAAGUACACACACACACAUGUAGUUUCUCUAACAUAGAAAACAAUUUAUUAUACACAUUCAUACAUAUGUGUUUCUCUCAUGAACACACAUUCAAAUACUCAUAUAUAUAUGUAUGUAUACGAAGGCACUGUUAUCCUUAUAAAGCACUCACACAUGUACGCGAGGGCUUUUCUAAUAAACGCAUAUGCACAUAUGUACAA
Long non-coding RNA from Octopus sinensis (East Asian common octopus), 1932 nucleotides. RefSeq lists it as uncharacterized. The record is from RefSeq and is a predicted model, not a curated record. The transcript has 2 exons. NCBI's taxonomy places the organism in Eukaryota, Metazoa, Mollusca, Cephalopoda, Octopoda, Octopodidae.